RNAcentral lists this ribosomal RNA (495 nucleotides) under uncultured bacterium. Its description in RNAcentral is "partial 16S ribosomal RNA". It matches the Rfam family "Bacterial small subunit ribosomal RNA", at positions 28 to 507 of the family's 1533-position model. The record is from RNAcentral.
GACGAACGCUGGCGGCGUGCCUAAUACAUGCAAGUCGAACGCUGAAGGAGGAGCUUGCUUCUCCGGAUAAGUUGCGAACGGGUGAGUAACGCGUAGGUAACCUGCCUGGUAGCGGGGGAUAACUAUUGGAAACGAUAGCUAAUACCGCAUAAGAGUAGAUGUCGCAUGACAUUUGCUUAAAAGGUGCAACUGCACCACUACCAGAUGGACCUGCGUUGUAUUAGCUAGUUGGUGAGGUAACGGCUCACCAAGGCAACGAUACAUAGCCGACCUGAGAGGGUGAUCGGCCACACUGGGACUGAGACACGGCCCAGACUCCUACGGGAGGCAGCAGUAGGGAAUCUUCGGCAAUGGACGGAAGUCUGACCGAGCAACGCCGCGUGAGUGAAGAAGGUUUUCGGAUCGUAAAGCUCUGUUGUAAGAGAAGAACGAGUGUGAGAGUGGAAAGUUCACACUGUGACGGUAUCUUACCAGAAAGGGACGGCUAACUACGUG